Molecule: ribosomal RNA, 3871 nt
Filed under: Triticum aestivum (bread wheat)
Lineage: Eukaryota; Viridiplantae; Streptophyta; Magnoliopsida; Poales; Poaceae
Description: partial small subunit ribosomal RNA
Source: RNAcentral
GGGUUAGGGGCGUGCGCGAGGCGAGGGUUACGAGCACCGUGUGGUCUCGGGUGUGGGCGUGGUUGGGAUCGGUGGUGUGGAGUGGAAGGAGGGGGCGAGGCGGGGUUUGGACCGGCGGUGUGGAGAGGAAGGAGGGAACGAGCUGCGGUAUCCGUGGCGUCCGGGAUGGAGGAAGGACGAGCAGGCCUAUCGGCGGCCGGCGGCGUAGGAAAGAGGAGGAAGGAGGAGGGGCAACCGCGGGGAGCAGGAGCCUGUCCCCCGGAGGACGUACCUGCCGGCCCAGAAGCAGCGAUUAGGGAAGGCGGGCGAGCGGCGCGAGCAGGACACCUUGCACGUUUUCCCAGUUUUAGGAUCGGCGGUUCGGAGGAGCAGUUCGGGCGCGGGGGAGGCGGAACAGAGGAGAUACGGGGGAGGAGAGGGUGCAGCGGUGGGAGCUCGGGCGUGGGGGAGGCGGAGCAGAGGAGGGGCGAGGGAGGAGAGUUUGCGGCGCGGUAACUGCGUGGCAGUCCCUGCGGCAGUUGUGCAGCCCCUAUGCGGCGUUACCUCGAGUCUGUUCUCGUCCCGUCGCCUAACCUAACUCCCGUGGGCUACUGGAACGGCGGCGACAGUGGACCUAAACGAACGGCGGCGCACCUCAGAGGUACCGGCGGCGGAGCUCAGUGGAGGCAGCGGCGGCGCUCAGUCGAGGUGAAAACGGCGGUCCUUAGAGCAGGGGCCGUUCCUUUUAAGGAUCCCUAAACUAACUGCCUCCGUAGCCAUAGACCGUAACAGGUUCUUCGGUAGCCACCCCAACCACUGACACCCUACGAGCGAACUGGGGGACAGGUGUUACUUUUGGCCUCCUUGGAAGUGAAACAUAUCUAGCACUACCUAUACCCCUGUAUAUUCUUGUGGAGGGAAGGCUUUUAGUUGAUCCCGUCUAUUCUUUUGGGUGGACUCUUAGAUAACAUAUGGUAUAAAAAAUCGGAGAAUUGUACAUGUACAUGUACAACAUCAGAUAUAAAACUAUAUCUUAUACAACAAUGUACGUUGACAAACUCAACCACCCGGUAACGACGACGGCCGAUUUUAAUAUUAUAAACAUUGAUUAUAAAAACCAACUGUAUAAUGAUCGCUUAACCUAUAGUAUAGGGAUUUGAUCCUUAAGAAAGUAAUAACCUCCGAAAAUAGACGUAUAUGUUCCAUCGUCUUCUUCGUCCACUCACCGGGGACAAAACAAAGAAAUACUAUCACAGGAGAUGUAUUACCAACUUUGCCACAUAUCGGACUUCGUACACUACAAAGAAAGUCACAUAUAAACACUAAAAUACCGCAAACUACGCGUAUCCCGUCUUGGAGUGUAGUGUAUGUUAUAAUCUCUCCUUACAAAAUUGUCAAUCACAAAGUUUCUAAAUAUGACAAAGUCGAUCGGUUACUUACAAACACCUCGAUGUAUAAACCAUAGUUUUCAUGUAGUAAACCCUUUAACCCAAAAAUCAAUUACACACAGUCCGUAGUUAUCAAAACUUUAUAAUGGUACAACGGCUUAUAUAGUAUGUUAAUAUCCACGUAAAUCAAGGGAUCUUGUAAACAAGAACUGAUGGGUCAUGGGUCAACUCUAUAGUGGUAAUCGCUUUGGUGUAACCUCCAUUAAGAUAAUUCAGCCUUUUCGAUAUACAAGGUCUUAAUAACAAAUUACUUCAUGAGUAAAACGAAAUAAGCAUAUUAUACAGAAGGACAAAACAGUAGUUGAAUUAUAAUAGGUAACUUUCAAGAGGAAAACAUUACGCUCACUGGCUAUCCUGUUUAUGGUAAUACGUAGUUCAUAUCAGCUUCAUCUUGCAACAGGAUCAUAAUCAUCUAAUGUACGAUUGCACGUCUAUUGUACCAAGACUUCAGCUUUUAGUAACGGUGUUACAAUGUCUAAUCUCAAAGGUUUUAUUAUAAUAUGAGGGAGGCAGGCCUUUAUGAACAGCUUUUUUACCUACUUUUACCUACAUAGAUGUUGAUUUAACGCAGGUCUAUGUAGGUAAGGAGGCUGUUCAUAAAAACCUGCCUCCCUCAUCAUUAGUGUAGGUAAAGUAACCUACACUGCACUACAUAGGAUAUACGCCUCGGUACUUUCUUUACAUUGAUACCUUCAACAUCUAUUGUCAUAUGUCAACAAGCUCACGAGAGACCGAUUUGGACUACGGAAAACAUGUAGUUCCGAGACUUAAAAAAUUCCUAGUGUUGAAUGAAAGUUUCAUUGUUAUUAUAAACCUUUUAUAGUCUCCACUGUCUCUUGUUAAAUUAUCCUAUCACCGUUUAUUCCGGGUAAAGGAAUUCCAUAGUCGUGUAUUGUGAAAAGUGAUUAAACCGGUCAAUCGUUACGAGACCAAACACGGUCAGUCCUUAACUCUCGCAGUCAUCAGAAACGUAUUUAUUGGUAGUCUGACCUCCAGUUGUGACUCUCUCCCUGACGUAUGUCAAAACAAGUUCGUAUGGGGAAGUUCAAUAUUAACGUUAUGUGAUACGACCUAUGUUUACUGGAAAGCUAAACUUGAUAAGUAUAACAAAUUAAACUACUGGACCCGUCCUAGGUCCAAAGCCAACGAUCGUUGACAUUACUAGUCUGAGAAAAGAGAAAAACAUCCAUACGACCAGAACUACACCAAAACCUGACUUACAAAGAGUGAACCUCCUUAACGAAAAACGAUUUUAGUUAUAUAAAAAGUCAGGGGUUGCUAAAAUAAGGAGUCGCGGGUUACCUGAAGAUAGUUAUAAAAGAAGGUUUGUUACAUAACUUAAAUGAUACUAAGUAACCUCAAUAAACUGCUUCCCCUCGGAACCGCGUCACCAUUUCGACGACGGAACACUGGUACUCCAGUGCCCAAGUUCAGGACCUUUGUCGGAGAAUGUCUUUACAUCCCUUUCCGACGCAUGAUAUCUGGGUUUCACCAGCCUGGGAAGGGGCUGGGACGCGUUCGCCCUCGAUGUACGUGGCCCGACGGGGUAACCUCAAUAAACUGUCUCUCUUUAUAAGAGACAUAUGACCUAUGUUAAUGAGUACUAUCCAGGAAAAUGAGGGAUCGCUGGUUAUGUGAGUAAAAAUCAAAAUACAUGGCGGUAACUGUAUAUAGAAAAGAAGGUUUGAUACUCUGUAAUACAUUUACAUGUGACCUCUUACAUAAUACAUGUACAUAUAAUAAAGUUUACCCAGACACGCUUGUACCAUCGUUCAUAAAACACGAUAGUCUAAUCUUACACACAUAUGUAGAGUAACAACUGUUGUUACGUGGUAUUAAUUCAAAGGGAAGAAAAUCGAAUAAACAACGAUGGACUCUAUUAUGGUUCAUACUAGAAACCAAACGGUACAUGCUGUGACGCCUCAGUAAAAUAAUUCGACCGUAAUCAUUAAAACGUAAAAUGUAUCAAGUACACGUUCAAUUUACAUACAGGUUAUUAAUGAUUAUGAUUCAAAUAUUACAACCGUGUUAGACAAUAACGGCAAUAGAAGAACCCUCAUGAACUCUUCCGCACCGACCCUUACACCCCUGUGCGGUACCGUCUCCGCGUACCAGCCGUCCUCCUCAGUCCCUCCGGACUUCCACCUGUACACCUACAAUAGCACCGUAACUGUGUAAAGCGAGGUGGCUAUGGUCCCUAAGCAACCUUCGGUGUGCCGCGUGGGCUCCUCUCCUCCUCUUACGAGACUUCUCUCCUUUACUAUUUAAAAUAACAAAACAAAAUUCUCGUUCCCUAAACUAUACAUCAGGGGACCGAAUAAACAUAAGAUGAUACACAUACCGGUUUCUUUAGUACUAAAAUAUGUGUGUAUAUAAAAAUUUGUUUUGGGAUACAUACAAAACGAGUUUGUCACAGUAGCCUUUCACGAGUAUAAAAGUUACGC